Molecule: long non-coding RNA, 465 nt
Filed under: Zostera marina
Lineage: Eukaryota; Viridiplantae; Streptophyta; Magnoliopsida; Alismatales; Zosteraceae
Description: long non-coding RNA (ZMAR_LNC000486)
Source: RNAcentral
AAAUCCCCCUACAUUCAUCGCUGCUAAAGACCGUCAUCUAUUAUCUAUCCUCAUUUCCUACCAAAAAAGAUAUAGAUGGCGAAUUUCCGCCAUCUAAUAUGAAAAUUUUCGCGGGAACUGAAAAUUUUUAGAUGGCGGACAUCCGCCAUCUAAAAUGUGACGUGAAAAAAUUUGGCGUCAAUUCAUCGAUGACGGUUAAUUUUAUUGAUGGCGGAUGUCCGCCGACUAUCUUUGUAACAUUAGAUAUCAUAAGUACGUUAGGCGGUUGCCUGCGUAUAUAGAUGGUGGAUGUCCGCCAUCUAUAACUGGGAGAGGGCGGUUGGGUCCAUAUAUAGAUGGCGGACGUUCGCCAUCUAAACCUUAAUAAAAUAGUAUGGACGGCGGAUUUUCGGAAUACAAUGUUUGUGCAAUUUUUUUAAAAAACAGGCUAUUUAAAGCGUUCGAAUCGUUAUUUCUUUGAAUUAG